UUGCCCUAGUAACGGCGAGUGAAGCGGCAAGAGCUCAGAUUUGAAAUCUGGCGCCUUUGGCGUCCGAGUUGUAAUCUGUAGAGGAUGCUAUUGGGUAGCCACCGGUCUAAGUCCCCUGGAACGGGGCGUCGCAGAGGGUGAGAAUCCCGUAUGUGACCGGAAGGGCGCCCUCCACAUAGCUCCUUCGACGAGUCGAGUUGUUUGGGAAUGCAGCUCUAAAUGGGAGGUAAAUUCCUUCUAAAGCUAAAUACCGGCCAGAGACCGAUAGCGCACAAGUAGAGUGAUCGAAAGAUGAAAAGCACUUUGGAAAGAGAGUUAAAAAGCACGUGAAAUUGUUGAAAGGGAAGCGCUUGCAACCAGACUUGUUGGCGGUGUUCCGCCGGUCUUCUGACCGGUGUACUCACCGUCUGCAGGCCAGCAUCAUCUGGGGCCGCCGGAUAAAAGCUUGGGGAAUGUGGCUCCUCCGGGAGUGUUAUAGCCCCUCGUGCAAUACGGCGUGCCUCGGGUGAGGUCCGCGCUUCGGCUAGGAUGCUGGCGUAAUGGUCGUAAGCGGCCCGUCUUGAAACACGGACCAAGGAGUCUAACAUCUAUGCGAGUGUUCGGGUGCCAAACCCCUACGCGUAAUGAAAGUGAACGGAGGUGGGAGCCUUAGGGUGCACCAUCGACCGAUCCUGAUGUCUUCGGAUGGAUUUGAGUAAGAGCAUAGCUGUUGGGACCCGAAAGAUGGUGAACUAUGCCUGGAUAGGGUGAAGCCAGAGGAAACUCUGGUGGAGGCUCGCAGCGGUUCUGACGUGCAAAUCGAUCGUCAAAUUUGGGUAUAGGGGCGAAAGACUAAU
RNAcentral lists this ribosomal RNA (836 nucleotides) under Chaetocapnodium insulare. RNAcentral's name for it is "Chaetocapnodium sp. JA-2019b partial large subunit ribosomal RNA". It matches the Rfam family "Eukaryotic large subunit ribosomal RNA", at positions 75 to 935 of the family's 3401-position model. The record is from RNAcentral. Lineage: Eukaryota; Fungi; Ascomycota; Dothideomycetes; Capnodiales; Capnodiaceae.